CCGAGUUUUCCGAAAGGAAUCUCUCACACAAUGUUAUGUUAACCUUAUUGCUUCGGCAAGACGUGUUCUUUGAGCCCACUGGUCUUUGGACGGGUGUGUGCUUGCCGAAGGUUUAACUCUUUAUUUUUGUUAGUCUGAAAAAAUAAUCAAAUAAUCA
This 157-nucleotide unclassified non-coding RNA is filed under the name uncultured fungus. RNAcentral describes it as "sequence contains ITS1, 5.8S rRNA gene". Lineage: Eukaryota; Fungi. The record is from RNAcentral.